GUGUUGUAUGAAAGGAGAGAAGGUUAGCACUCCCCUUGACAAGGAUGGAAGAAAUUCUGGAGCCUGACAGCAUGCAUAUGGUCAAGGCAUUGCCACCUACUUCAUGGCAUCUAACCAUGGGGCUUU
Small nuclear RNA from Bos indicus x Bos taurus (hybrid cattle), 126 nucleotides. The record is from Ensembl. Lineage: Eukaryota; Metazoa; Chordata; Mammalia; Artiodactyla; Bovidae.